GCCCCUGCUGUGUCCCCAGGGCCCAGAGCAGAGCUGGGCUUCGAGUCUGAUCAGGGACUAUGUGUGUGGAGUGGAUGGUGCUUGCUUCUUCUGGGGAGAGAGAGACCUGGGCCAGAGGGACAAGGGGACCUGGUGUGACCGGUUUUCCUUCCCUCGGGAGAGGAUCUGAGCGAGUGGACACAGGAUGGAGCUGUGAGGUGGCCUCUAAUAUUGCCAACAUCGACCAGAUCAGACCCAGGGAGAGAGAGAAUUGCUGAGAUACCUUGGCACCUCCGUGGCAGAGAAGUUUGUCAGCCCAGGUCUUCCCACCUACACGGACUGUGCGUUCAUCUGCCACGUAAUUCUUCCUGUCCGAAGAACUGGUUAAACACUCUUGAAGUUUAUUCUGGUCUGCAGCCUUUCUGCCUGAGUGUGGAGCUGGAAUUGUGAGAGAGUUUCGUGGAUUUAGACAUGACCUAAGACUUAGAGGGGCCACGAGCAGGGACCGCUCAUCCCAGUGCUCUGGGGCCUCCAGUCUGCAGAGGCGGCGCCUCUGAGCUGAGCAGGGCAAGCCUGGUGUGUCCCUCAUGGUCAACGUGCCCUCUGUCAACUGGGACAAUAUGAGGACUGCAGCCCAGGAGACGGCCCCUCAGAGAGCUCUGAGAAACUGCCUCGAAGAGGCGGGGGGAGAAAGGUCAGCAUAUGUGUGAUUUCGGCUAAGGGGAAAGACAUGCAACCAAGCACAUAUCUUUCCAGAAGAUUUCUACCAGUCUUGUGACGGCUUUGCUAGGCACAAGGAACAAUCAUCACCACGAAGAAUUUUAGUGCUUUUCUAGAUAUGGGAACGUACGAGAAUUGGGCUCAUAAAAUCAGCUCCUGAGAACGUCUUAACUGUCUGAAGACCUAUCCUGCCAGUUCCCCCACCCUGCUCCCAGCACAGAGGCCUCAUUUCUGCUCUUCACCCUGAACGCCUUUCAUCUGGUGUCGACGGUCAGCAGCUGCAGCCGCACUUGGUUUAAUCCUUGUAGAAGUCGGUGGCAGGUGCCCUUGGCAAGUGCUAGUUUGUAGCUGACACCUCUGAAGUGGGCAGUGGCAGCCCUGAUGGACUUGGAGCCUCCUUGAGGGGUGAGAUGGGGGCAGAGGUCAAAGGGGAAAGGAGAGAGGUUAGAAGCUGCUGUGGCUUUGAAGCAGAGGGGAAGAGUUGAGCCGAGGACUGGGCUCAUCUAGAUGCUGGAAGUUCUCGGGUCACGGUUCACGAUUGCUGAAGCCUGGCUUGAAGGAUUCUGAGCAUAGCUUCCCUAGCAUUUGUGCAACUGUAUGAUAGUUUGAAUAGUCUUUGGCAUUGCCCUUCUUUGGGAUUGGACACUGACACUGAUCAAUCCAAUGAAAACUGACCAUUUCC
Molecule: long non-coding RNA, 1381 nt
Organism: Cervus elaphus (red deer)
Lineage: Eukaryota; Metazoa; Chordata; Mammalia; Artiodactyla; Cervidae
Exons: 4
Source: RefSeq, a predicted model, not a curated record